GCCGGGCGUGGUGGCUCGCGCCUGUAGUCCCAGCUACUCAGGAGGCUGAGGCACAAGAAUCGCUUGAGCCCAGGAGGCAGAGGUUGCAGUGAGCCGAGGUGGUGCCACUGCAUUCCAGCCUGGGUGACAGAGCGAGAUUCUGUCUCAA
Molecule: small RNA, 148 nt
Filed under: Pongo abelii (Sumatran orangutan)
Lineage: Eukaryota; Metazoa; Chordata; Mammalia; Primates; Hominidae
Description: Metazoan signal recognition particle RNA (ENSPPYG00000035815.1)
Rfam family: Metazoan signal recognition particle RNA
About the family: The signal recognition particle (SRP) is a universally conserved ribonucleoprotein. It is involved in the co-translational targeting of proteins to membranes.
Source: Rfam by way of RNAcentral